This 75-nucleotide small nucleolar RNA is filed under the name Opisthocomus hoazin. RNAcentral describes it as "Small nucleolar RNA R38". It matches the Rfam family "Small nucleolar RNA R38". From Rfam's summary of the family: snoR38 is a C/D box small nucleolar RNA conserved across yeast, human, Arabidopsis and rice. It is encoded in the intron of elongation factor-1 gamma in both pombe and cerevisiae. snoR38 guides the methylation of 2'-O-ribose sites in 28S rRNA. The record is from Rfam by way of RNAcentral. Lineage: Eukaryota; Metazoa; Chordata; Aves; Opisthocomiformes; Opisthocomidae.
CUGAGCGAGUGAUGAGAAGAGUUAUCCCUGUCUGAACUCAUCGUUCCUCUGUGGAAGCACGACUCUGAGGCUCAG